AACGAACGUUGGCGGCGUGCCUAACACAUGCAAGUCGAGCGCGAACGGUUCCUUCGGGAACCUAGUAGAGCGGCGAACGGGUGAGUAACGCGUGGGUAAUCUGCCCUUUGGUGGGGAAUAACCACGGGAAACUGUGGCUAAUGCCGCAUGAGCUCUCGGCCCCCGCGGGGAUCGAGAGGAAAGCAUGCCUCUGCUUCAAGCAUGCGCCAGAGGAGGAGCCCGCGUCCCAUUAGCUAGUUGGUGAGGUAACGGCUCACCAAGGCGACGAUGGGUAGCCGGCCUGAGAGGGUGAACGGCCACACUGGGACUGAGACACGGCCCAGACUCCUACGGGAGGCAGCAGUGGGGAAUUUUGCGCAAUGGGGGAAACCCUGACGCAGCGACGCCGCGUGCGGGAUGACGGCCUUCGGGGGAAACCGCUGUCGUACGGGACGAACCCCCGGUCGAAUGAAUAAGCCAUCGGGCUGACGGUACCGUGCAAG
RNAcentral lists this ribosomal RNA (482 nucleotides) under uncultured bacterium. RNAcentral's name for it is "bacterial SSU rRNA". It matches the Rfam family "Bacterial small subunit ribosomal RNA", at positions 28 to 486 of the family's 1533-position model. The record is from RNAcentral.